ACUGGUAACUUGUUUGCCACGUAGCAAUAAAAAAAUAUACGAAAAACCUUGAUUAUUCUGGUUAGUCACAUUGUACUGCUAUUAUUUUGAACAAUACUGUAAAUAACAGCCAGUUUGAAGGUUUUGGGGACAUAUCCUAAUGACAAUGAGGAAUUAAUAAUAGUCAGAAGAGGAUCUAUGACUUCUGGAAGCACCUCUUUUAGGAGCUUAGAUGGUAUAGGGUCUAACAUACAUGUUGUUGGUUGAUUUAACAAGUUUAUACAAUUCUUCCUCUCCUAUAGUAGAGAAUGAGUGGAACUGUUCCUCAGGGGGUCUAUAGUUUACUUUCUGAUGUGAUACUGUAGCUGACGGCUGAAUGGUUGCAAUUUUAUCUCUAAUAGUAUCGAUUUUAGAAGUAAAGUAGUUCAUAAAAUCAUUACUGCUAUGGUGUUGGGAAGUGUCAAAACUUGUUGAGGCUUCAUUUUUCGUUAAUUUAGCCACUGUAUUGAAUAAAUACCUGGGGUUAUGUUUGUUUUCUUCUAAAAGAGAAGAAAAGUAAUCGGAUCUAGCAGUUUUUAAUGAUUUUCUGUAGGAUAGGUUACUUUCCCGCCAAGCAAUACGAAAUACCUCUAGUUUUGUUUUCCUCCAGCUGCGCUGCAUUUUUCGGGCUGCUCUCUUUAGGGUUUGAGUAUGCUCAUUACACCAUGGUGUCAAACUGUUUUCCUUAAGCGUAAAGGAGAAACUUUAUUUAAAGUGCUAGAAAAGAGAGAGUCCAUAGUUUCUGUUACAUCAUCAAGUUGUUCUGAGGUUUCGGAUAUGCUAAGGAAUUUGGAUACAUCAGGAAGAUAACUUAAAAAGUAGUCUUUUGUGGUAGAAGUGAUGGUUCUUCCAUACUUGUAACAAGAAGUAGAAUUUACAAUUUUGGCUAUAUGAAGUUUGCACAGAACUAAAUAAUGAUCUGAGAUAUCAUCACUUGGCUGAAUAAUUUCAACACUAUCAACUUCAAUUUCAUGUGACAGUAUUAAAUCUAGAGUAUGAUUUCGACAAUGAGUAGGUCCUGAAACGUGUUAUCUAACACCAAUAGAGUUCAGAAUGUCUAUAAAUGCUGAUCCCAAUGCAUCUUUUUCAUUAUCGACAUGGAUAUUAAAAUCACCAACUAUUAAAACUUUAUCUGCAGCCACAACUAACUCGGAUGUAAAAUCAUCAAACUCUUUAAUAAAGUCUCUAUGGUGCCCUGGUGGCCUGUAUACAGUAACCAGUACAAACAUAACAGGGGAUUUAUCAUUAACAUUUGUUUCUCUGUAUAAUGUUAUAUGAAGCACCAUUACUUCAAACGAGUUAUACUUGAAGCCUGCCCUCUGAGAAAUCCUGAAAACGUUGUUAUAAAUAGAAGCAACUCCUCCCCCUUUGCCCUUUGAGACGCCGCUUAUGUUUAUAACAGUAAUCUUGGGGGUGGACUCAUUUAAAAUAAUGUAAUCAUCAGGUUUUAGCCAGGUUUCUGUCAAACAGAGUACAUCUAUAUUAUGAUCAAUGAUCAUAUUAUUUAAAAAAAGUGUUUUCAUAGAAAGGGAUCUGAUAUUCAAUAAUCCAAGCUUUAUCACUUGUUUGUCCAUAUUGCAUCUGUUUUUUAUUUGUUGAACCUCAAUUAAAUUGUUAAUCUUAACUUGGUUUGGACGUUUUUUGUAUUUUCUAGUUCGGCGAACAGACACAGUCUUUAUAGUGUGAUAUGUAGGUGAAAAAGUAUCUAUGUGUCCAUAGAGCUAUACAGUCAGUUUGUGUGUAUCCAUCAUCAUCCAUCUUGGUGUCAUCAUAUUUACGUAUGGCAUCAGUUUUUACCUCACUAUACAUCCCAGCAUCCUCCCCACUAGACCACUGCAAACUUUCUCAUCACACCUUGGAAAUUAGAAGAGAAGUUGCUUGUAGUCAAAUUAGAUUAAUGCAUUUAAGACUGUUUCAUUAUUCACAUGUCAGACAUAAUGCUAACUGUCAACUUAAUUUGUCAACUGCAUGCAAGUUAGCUGCAGAGCUUGUGGGAGAUAAUAUAUAUUUUUUAAAUAAAAGUAAUGUAAUGUUAUCAGAAUAAUAGCAAUACAACAUAAACUAAAAAUAAAUUAAUCCAGCUAACAUUAGCUAAAUACAUGAAGCAAGGUCGUGGUUUGUCACAGAGAAUUCCUGAAUAAGGCUCCAGUUACUUGCUGAAAGUAAACUAACUCUAACAACUAUGACUUCUGGAAGCACCUCUUUUAGGAGCUUAGAUGGUAUAGGGUCUAACAUACAUGUUGUUGGUUUAGAUGAUUUAACAAGUUUAUACAAUUCUUCCUCUCCUAUAGUAGAGAAUGAGUGGAACUGUUCCUCAGGGGGUCUAUAGUUUACUGUCUGAUGUGAUACUGUAGCUGACGGCUGAAUGGUUGGAAUUUUAUCUCUAAUAGUAUCGAUUUUAGAAGUAAAGUAUAAUAAUGCUAACUGUCAACUUAAUUUGUCAACGGCAUGCAAGUUAGCUGCAGAGCUGCAUAGCAAUACAACAUAAACUAAAAAUAAAUUAAUCCAGCUAACAUUAGCUAAAUACAUGAAGCAAGGUCGUGGUUUGUCACAGAGAAUUCCUGAAUAAGGCUCCAGUUACUUGCUGAAAGUAAACUAACUCUAGCAACUGUUUUCUGAUAGGUUAACAUUAACAAAUUCGAAAAAAAAAAAAAAAAAAAAUUUAUUUUACUCUGCCUGAGUAAUCAAUACAACAAGGGAAAAUUAUUCCUACCUUAGGAUCCUGGUUACGUUACUGCAGAAAUCAACAUCUAGGCAAUCUGUAAAUUCAGAGCUGUUGAUUCAAGUCACACAAUAUAUAAUUUUACUGCUCUCUGGGUGCUUGUCUUAAUUAGGCUUUUUAUUGGAUCCCGCAAAGUAGUUCAAACAUCAACCAAUCAGUGUAUUUUAUAGUUUCUUUUUACAUAGACUUGCCUUGUCGUAGGUGUUCAAAAAAAUAGAGUACUUGUAAAUGAUACAGAACGCAUGCGGAACAAAUGCCGACAAAAAGUGUAUUGCUUUCACAGCUGCCAAGAAGAAGAAAGAAAGAUUCCUCAUCGUACACGGACCAGGUGGAAAAAAAAGAAUGAUGUUUCCCACUCGCAAAGGGGACUGAAGAAUCCACCCCCACAGAUAUAGACCUCCAGGUAGACAUUUUGACAUAUUUCUGAUGGGAAGCUGUACAAAUAUCUGAAAUCAGUUAGCGAUUCUUUCUUUUCCCUGUCAUUCAAUUGUGAUGGAGUGCCUGUGUUCCAGUCAUCUAAAUUCAGCAUCUGGCCCAUACUAUGCUCUGUUAAUGAAAUAGCCACAGAGGAAAGAGAUAAAAAUAUCAUACUAUGUGCCUUGUGGUUUGGGUCAUCUAAACCACUGAUGAGUAGCUUCCUCAAACAUUUUGUGGAGGAAUGCAAAAGUCUUGGACAAAAAUGGACUUCAGUGGCAGGAUCCAGUAGAUCACUCAAUCCAAACUGCAAAGGUCUAUGCGUUAUGUGCUAUAUGUGAUGCUGUUGCACGGCCUUUACUGCACAAUUUCAGUUAAUAACAGUUUAAUGGAGAGUAUGGGUGUGGGCAUUGUCUUCAUCUAGUUGUUCAACUGUGCAAAUAGGUGAGAUUGCCAAAAAAUAAAUAAACAGAGCAUUUUGGGUAUAAAAGGGCCUUCUCCAAUUGUGGACUUGCCCCAUUUUUACCUGAUUAAUGGCAUGGUCAUUGUGUGUUACUGGGGGUUUGUCUGCAAAUAGCCACUUUAUGGUUUGAUUCCAAAAGCUACUGUCAGGACCUACUCCCUGUCGGCCAGCACCCCCACUUCCACCCUUGAGGAGCUACCCCGCACCGGAGAAGGCAGACCACCAGAAUUCAAAGUUAACACAUUUAUUAAUUUAUUUAAAAGAUGUCUCUAAAAGCAGUAUGAGCUUCCUCCCUCCAGGUUGAGUGACUGCAUGUGUAGCUCUAGUUCCCCUCCUCCACUACCAACACAGUAAGGUGAAUACAGCCCGAGCGGCUACAGCGCCAGAUGGCGAAGGCUUGAUGGUAACUCCGUUCUUCGAGUCCUCAGGCUGGAUAUCAUCAGCGACUAUCUCCAUUCAGUGGGGUUUCAGCACCAUUUCAGUGACUCUGCAGGGCUUCACACAGAUUCAAUAUGAAUGGUUCAGUCAAUGGACUCAAUUCCAUAUGUCACGGGUCCUACAAUGGUAGCAGAUCCACAACAGCAGAUAACUCACUUCAGUAACUCUGCAGGCUUUUCACUAAACUCAUACAGAGAGCGAGGGAUACAUAUAUGUUACAGUUUAAGAGGCUCUUCACUGAGCUCAGACAGAGAGAAGGGAGGUAAUUAUACCUCAACGCUUCAGCAGGUUCUUCGCUGGACUCAGAUCGAGGAUACAGACAGGCAAAUACACUUCACAGAUUUAACAGGCUCUUCACUGGACUCAGACAGAGAGAAAGUGAGUUACAUAUAUUUCACAGUGUUAACAGGCUCCUUAACUUCACAGCUUUAACAGGCUCUUCACUGGAUUCAGACAGAGAGAAGGGAGAUAAUUAUACUUCACCACUUCCGCAGGUUCUUCAUUCACAGCUUUAGCUGGUUCUUCAACUGGGCUCAGACAGAGAGUGGAGGGUACAUAUUCUUCACCGCUUAAGCGGAUUCUUCAUUCACAUCUUUAGUUAGGGAUUAUAGGUUGGUCGCCUGUACACUCUGCAACAUCCCACACUCGUGUAUACUCUACAACACACUCAAUUCACACGUGAUAAUUGAAAAUCAGCACAGCAUGCACGAACCUCAAAUCCUUAAGGUAGAGUGCGGGCCCAUACGACAAUCUCAACCAAUGAACUCUCAGUAUACUGAUACAAAACAGGACUCUCACUACUGCGUCAUUUCCAAACAUCCAUCUCCAGUUCCUUCCUCGCUGUGUCACUACUGCAUCUUCACCAUCCCUUCCUCUCUCCUUCCUCCAUCUUCACCGACCCUUCCUCUCUCCUUCCUCCAUCUUCACCGAUCCUUCCUCCCUUCCUCCUGCGUCUUCCCCGAUGCUUCCUCUUUGCCCUCUUCUCUCAAACGCCAACUCUUUUUAUUUCCCUCCCAAUCCAAUUACCUGCUUACGCAUUUUCCCCCUCACAGCUGCCAGCGUUUAUCCUCAUUAUCUUCUAUUCCAGCAUAUUUUUUCCUGCUCCCAUGUAUCCCCGGAACCGGCCUUGUGUUGCUCUGGAAGUGCUCCCUGCCACAACAACCUCAGCCUAUAGUUCCGGCCUUCGUCACCCCGUGACACUACAGUCAACCAUUGGCUUGAACACUGAAAAAGUGGAUGGAAAUCUUUUAUCAAUCAAGCCUCCAAGCAUUUUUUUUUUCCAGAAUCCCAUGGUAUAUUCCUGAGAGAAGGUUUUGGAAAGCUAAUGAAUGGCAGAACUGGCUUUUAUAUUACAGUUUGCCAGUCCUGAAGGGGAUAAUUCCAAACAUGUAUCUUUGCCACUGGGCUUUACUUGUGGAGGGUGUGAGCAUUUUGCUAGGCUCAGACAUUAGCCAAGAGAAUACUGACCAUGCUCAUCAGGCUGUUGAGCUUUAUGUAACAUCAGUUCAGAUGACCUACAAUGUGCAUUCACUCCUGCAUUUGACUAAGAGUGUUGAGAAUUUGGGUCCUCUCUGGGCCCAGUCUGCUUUAAUUUUUGAGAACUAUAAUGGCUACUUGCAAGUAAGUAAAAAGCAGUAAUGCAGUCCCUCAGAGCUUUGCAAAAGGGUAGUUUGGUCUCGUGCAUUGUCACGAAUAGGUAAGGCCCGCUUAUCUAAUGAUAAUAAUAAUAAUAAUAAUGAAUUUUAUUUAUAAUGCACUUUACAUUUAAAAAUAAUAAAUACUUUAAUAAUAAAUCAAGGCAAUGUAUACAUAAACAUAUUAUUGUAAAUAAAUGAAGUUGAGUCAAAUCUGUUUGUAGAACAGUAAUCUAAAAUGUUAACAAUUGAGGGGUUAAAAAUGGGCUGGAAUAUAUUUGACAGAAAGUCAUUUUUGUAAAUGUGACAAACUGUUGGUGGCAAUAUGCAUAAGUAGAAAUUUUGGAAAGUUUUAUGUUAAACAAAACAUUUGAAUACAGUAAACUUAGUACUGUAAUAAAGUUGUGAUAAACAUUGUCUUAAAUGAAAAUGAAAUCUGGUGAUGUAGGUGCAACCCUUGAUAUUUUUAUACUGUUUUACUUAGUCACGUUUCUUUAAAACCUGAUACUGCCCCUUUAAGAGAUUGGGUAGUUCGUAUGGGGAGACAGUGCACAGCAGUAGCGCACAGAGUGAUUGUGCAUGAAGCACAGACAAAAUGCAUAGCGAGUGAGUAAUUUAGACUAUGCUGAUUACGAUAAGCAUUUAUAUUGCGAAUUGUCUUUUGAAUAGCUGAUUUAUUGUUUAUGUCAGUUGGGAGGUUGAAUUUGAAACACUGUGGAAGAGAAGUUGAAGACAUUGUUUUCAGUGACUGUUUUCUGAGACAUUCUGGUGAGUGUAUUCCGUUUGUAACUAAAUAUUUUGUUGUCAUGUUGUGUUUUAUUUGAGCAAAACCAGUCAGAAUGUAUUCAUGUCAAAGAAAAUGUGGUUAAAUCGUUCAUGUGGGAGUGAAGAUUAGAGCACCUAAGCAUAGCACCAUAAUGCUAGUUUUGCUAAUCAAGGAGAGCACGAGGUGUGCAAUGCUUGAAUUUUUUUCACAUGUUGAGUGAACUUGCGAAUGUAUAAACCUGUAACUUUUAAACUGAUUUAGGUAAAAGUGUAUUGUUAGCUCUCAAAUUGGAAAAAGGAAAAGAUUCAAAGCAAAGGUUUAUUUCGUAACCUUUAUUUCAUAGGUGUAGGAAAAUGAUUAUAUGAGAAAUCAUAAAGAUUAGGAAUCAUCUAUUUGUUCUGAUAUUGUUGAUGUAAUCAAUUUGAAAUGUACAUUUGUGCAGACUGUUUUUUUUCCCUAUUGGACUGUUGUUCGCUGAUACAAUUGGACCUGAAUCUUCUGAGUGGAUUCCUUUGGAACAAAUUCUCUUCGUCAUCACGUCGUACUCAAUCAACUCCUCUGCUCUUCAUCAUCUCGUCAUACUCCAUCAACUCAUCUGCUCUCCUUUCCUUCGUACUUGAUUAACUAAAUAGUAUUCCUGGUGAAGUGGUAGGACUGAGAAAUUUUUUCUUAUUUUUUACACGCAUCACACAGGACUGAGAUUUUUUUGUUGUUGUUUACAUACUACAUUGGGACUGAGACUCUUUUUUUCCCUUUCAAAACUUGAAUUUUCAAAAUCAGUUUCCUUGGGUUACAAUUAUAUUGUUAUCGAGCUCAAUUAUUAUUAUUAUUUUUUUUGGAGAGUGAAUAUCAUUCAAUAUUCAUUACUUUGCUUUUAAAGUGCCAGAACAAAGAGCAUUUAAAUUGACUGCCUUACAAAAUACAAUUCUGGCUAACUCGAA
This is a long non-coding RNA of Carassius gibelio (silver crucian carp), 7396 nucleotides long. RefSeq lists it as uncharacterized. The record is from RefSeq and is a predicted model, not a curated record. NCBI's taxonomy places the organism in Eukaryota, Metazoa, Chordata, Actinopteri, Cypriniformes, Cyprinidae. The transcript has 2 exons.